CAUUUGCAUCCGUGCAUAUGAAUGGCAACACUGUAUGCACAUGAGCAUAAAUAGGAGUGUGAGUACCUGGUAAGCGGAGGUAGAUCCGGGGCUGCCGAUGGUGCUGCUGCCGCUGGUGAAGGACUCGGGCUGGGCCGGAGAGGUGCUGCUGCCGCGGGACGAGGUGUCGUAAUUCCCGCAGUAGUCCUGGUACAUGAUCCAGGAAAGGAGGAAAUAUCGCUAGGACUUUAGAACUUUCCUUCAGAAGGUUUUAUCUUUGUCCAUGUGAUGUCAGAUGAAAGAAAAAUUGAGCUGUUUGGCCACAAUACCCAGCAAUAUGUUUGGAGGAGAAAAGGAGAGGCCUUUAAUCCCAGGACCACCAGACCUACCGUCAAGCAUGGUGGUGGUAGCAUUAUGCUCUGGGCCUGUUUUGCUGCCAAUGGAACAAGGGCUUUACAGAGAGAACUGUGACAAUGAAAUUGUCAGUGUCUGUGUGUUCAUUCUUGCACCUGUGUCUUUUCCAACCUUGUAAAAAUGCCGAAAAUGGGAAUUUCUCUUAAAGGCAAAUAAAGUAUCUAUAUUCCUUCAA
This is a long non-coding RNA of Nerophis ophidion (straightnose pipefish), 568 nucleotides long. RefSeq lists it as uncharacterized. The transcript has 2 exons. The record is from RefSeq and is a predicted model, not a curated record. Lineage: Eukaryota; Metazoa; Chordata; Actinopteri; Syngnathiformes; Syngnathidae.